GCCUGGCUAGCUCAGUUGGUAGAGCAUUCGACUCUUACGUAGGGUUUGCCACUCGACUCCGGCGAGAGUUCAAGUGAUCGAAUUGUCGUGGGUUCGAGCCCCACGUUGGGCG
Transfer RNA from Puccinia sorghi, 112 nucleotides. It matches the Rfam family "tRNA". Rfam says of the family: Transfer RNA (tRNA) molecules are approximately 80 nucleotides in length. The record is from Rfam. Lineage: Eukaryota; Fungi; Basidiomycota; Pucciniomycetes; Pucciniales; Pucciniaceae.